RNAcentral lists this transfer RNA (83 nucleotides) under Candidatus Wildermuthbacteria bacterium. Its description in RNAcentral is "tRNA-Ser". It matches the Rfam family "tRNA". Rfam says of the family: Transfer RNA (tRNA) molecules are approximately 80 nucleotides in length. Their secondary structure includes four short double-helical elements and three loops (D, anti-codon, and T loops). The record is from RNAcentral. Lineage: Bacteria; Candidatus Wildermuthiibacteriota.
GGAGGGUUGCGCCGAAUGGUAAGGCACUGGUUUCGAAAACCAGCGGGUGAAAACCCUUGCAGGUUCGAGUCCUGCACCCUCCG